Molecule: ribosomal RNA, 253 nt
Filed under: uncultured bacterium
Lineage: Bacteria
Description: partial 16S ribosomal RNA
Rfam family: Bacterial small subunit ribosomal RNA
Source: RNAcentral
UACAGAGGGGGCAAGCGUUAUUCGGAAUUAUUGGGCGUAAAGGGCGCGUAGGCGGCAUGGCAAGUGGAAGGUGAAAUCCCUCGGCUUAACCGAGGAACUGCCGUCCAAACUGCUUCGCUUGAGACCGGGAGAGGUGAGUGGAAUUCCCAGUGUAGCGGUGAAAUGCGUAGAUAUUGGGAGGAACACCAGUGGCGAAGGCGGCUCACUGGAUCGGUACUGACGCUGAAGCGCGAAAGCUAGGGGAGCAAACAGG